Molecule: ribosomal RNA, 367 nt
Filed under: uncultured bacterium
Lineage: Bacteria
Description: bacterial SSU rRNA
Rfam family: Bacterial small subunit ribosomal RNA
Source: RNAcentral
AACGUAGACGAAAGUUUACGCUAAUACCGCAUACGAUCUACGGAUGAAAGCGGGGAUCGCAAGACCUCGCGCGAAUGGAGCGGCGAUAUCAGAUUAGGUAGUUGGUGGGGUAAAGGCUCACCAAGCCAACGAUCUGUAGCUGGUCUGAGAGGACGACCAGCCACACUGGAACUGAGACACGGUCCAGACUCCUACGGGAGGCAGCAGUGGGGAAUUUUGGACAAUGGGCGCAAGCCUGAUCCAGCCAUUCCGCGUGCAGGAUGAAGGCCUUCGGGUUGUAAACUGCUUUUGUACGGAACGAAACGGUCUGCCCUAAUACGGCAGGCUAAUGACGGUACCGUAAGAAUAAGCACCGGCUAACUACGUG